AAACCCCUCAACUCUCCUUUUCGGGUGUGUUGGAUUUGAGCAUGUCCACCAAAAGCCAGAUUUGGUUUUUGGAGGAUGCUUGAAAUUUGAGGUUCGGCCGGCAGUGCCUGGGCUACAAGCAUUUCAUACUUAAUCCCGUCAAACGGAUUAUAUUCUUUGCUGCAGCCAACAUACAGGGUAACUGUCAGUGUCCGACUGAUGCAGGAUAAGUUGAGACUCGCUCUCUUCUAA
This 231-nucleotide unclassified non-coding RNA is filed under the name uncultured Mortierella. Its description in RNAcentral is "sequence contains ITS2". Lineage: Eukaryota; Fungi; Mortierellomycota; Mortierellomycetes; Mortierellales; Mortierellaceae. The record is from RNAcentral.